UACGUAGGGUGCAAGCGUUACUCGGAAUUACUGGGCGUAAAGCGUGCGCAGGCGGUGAUGUAAGACAGAUGUGAAAUCCCCGGGCUCAACCUGGGACCUGCAUUUGUGACUGCAUUGCUAGAGUACGGUAGAGGGGGAUGGAAUUCCGCGUGUAGCAGUGAAAUGCGUAGAUAUGCGGAGGAACACCGAUGGCGAAGGCAAUCCCCUGGACCUGUACUGACGCUCAUGCACGAAAGCGUGGGGAGCAAACAGG
Molecule: ribosomal RNA, 253 nt
Filed under: uncultured bacterium
Lineage: Bacteria
Description: partial 16S ribosomal RNA
Rfam family: Bacterial small subunit ribosomal RNA
Source: RNAcentral